Molecule: transfer RNA, 72 nt
Filed under: Mormyrops anguilloides (Cornish jack)
Lineage: Eukaryota; Metazoa; Chordata; Actinopteri; Osteoglossiformes; Mormyridae
Description: tRNA-Gly
Rfam family: tRNA
About the family: Transfer RNA (tRNA) molecules are approximately 80 nucleotides in length. Their secondary structure includes four short double-helical elements and three loops (D, anti-codon, and T loops).
Source: RNAcentral
AUCUUUCUAGUAUGAACAACAGUACAAGUGACUUCCAAUCACUUAGUCUUGGUUAAAGCCCAAGGAAAGAUA